GAUCCUGGCUCAGAUUGAACGCUGGCGGCAUGCCUUACACAUGCAAGUCGAACGGCAGCACGGGGCAACCUGGUGGCGAGUGGCGAACGGGUGAGUAAUGCAUCGGAACGUGCCAUUGAGUGGGGGAUAACGUAGCGAAAGUUACGCUAAUACCGCAUACGAUCUACGGAUGAAAGCGGGGGAUCGCAAGACCUCGCGCGAAUGGAGCGGCCGAUGUCAGAUUAGGUAGUUGGUGGGGUAAAGGCUCACCAAGCCAACGAUCUGUAGCUGGUCUGAGAGGACGACCAGCCACACUGGAACUGAGACACGGUCCAGACUCCUACGGGAGGCAGCAGUGGGGAAUUUUGGACAAUGGGCGCAAGCCUGAUCCAGCCAUUCCGCGUGCAGGAUGAAGGCCUUCGGGUUGUAAACUGCUUUUGUACAGAACGAAAAAGCUCUUUCUAAUACAGAGAGUCCAUGACGGUACUGUAAGAAUAAGCACCGGCUAACUACGUG
This 495-nucleotide ribosomal RNA is filed under the name uncultured bacterium. Its description in RNAcentral is "bacterial SSU rRNA". It matches the Rfam family "Bacterial small subunit ribosomal RNA", at positions 15 to 507 of the family's 1533-position model. The record is from RNAcentral.